Beta vulgaris subsp. vulgaris (sugar beet) is the source of this 433-nucleotide long non-coding RNA. RefSeq lists it as uncharacterized. The transcript has 2 exons. NCBI's taxonomy places the organism in Eukaryota, Viridiplantae, Streptophyta, Magnoliopsida, Caryophyllales, Amaranthaceae. The record is from RefSeq and is a predicted model, not a curated record.
GAACAAGUACACCAAGAUAAGUGCAGAAUGUCGUUCGAUGAUCCCCACAUGGAACUUUUCUUCUAUUCCAUUCAAGUGGAAUUUUUCUACCCUCCUGAAUUGCCUUCCCUACUGUUGCACAUACCGUGCGACCUCUGCGGUCCUCACGUUCAGCUCUAUUACCAUCAUCAUCAUACUCGGUAUCCGAGGUUGCAUUCUCUUGAGACAUUACAAGACAGUCAAGCUCUUCUGAGCGAGUAUGGGAGCGCGAAUUUAAAUGACUCAAUACCCCAGGAUAUUGUUAGUUGCAUCAAUGAUUUGCAAAAUAGGUUUGGCAGGUCAAAAUGAUGAACUACAGUGACUACCAAGGACUACAUCCUAAACUCUCAUAAACCAGUUUGCCAAAAUGUCAUUGAUGAUAUACAAUGUAAUGCAUUUCUCUCUUUCCACUUCA